This 85-nucleotide transfer RNA is filed under the name Solirubrobacterales bacterium. RNAcentral's name for it is "tRNA-Leu". It matches the Rfam family "tRNA". From Rfam's summary of the family: Transfer RNA (tRNA) molecules are approximately 80 nucleotides in length. Their secondary structure includes four short double-helical elements and three loops (D, anti-codon, and T loops). The record is from RNAcentral. Lineage: Bacteria; Bacillati; Actinomycetota; Thermoleophilia; Solirubrobacterales.
GCGGCUGUGGCGGAAUUUGGCAGACGCGCGACGUUCAGGUCGUCGUGUCCUUCGGGACGUGGAGGUUCGAGUCCUCUCAGCCGCA